GUAAGGGUCUGGGGUGGAUGCCUCGGCUGCCCGAGGGGAUGAAGGGCGUGUAAAGCUGCGAUAAGCCGGGUGGAGGCGCAAAAUGCCGUUGAGGCCCGGAUGCCCGAAUGGGGAAACCCGGCAGGGUGUUGAGCCCUGUCAUCCGCGUAAAGCGGAGCCGAUACGGGGCGAAGUAAAACAUUCUAGUAGCCCCAGGAAAGGAAAUCAAAACGAGACUCCCCGAGUAGCGGCGAGCGAAAGGGGACCAGCCCAAACCGCACGGGUGCCAUGGUGGCAGCCUUAGCUCGUGCGGGGUUGCGGGACGUAUCCGGAGGGGGCUGCCAACCCCUCAGGGAGUUACAAAACUUCCACCUAGCCGAAGUGAGCUGGAAUGCUCCGCCAUAGAGGGUGAAAGCCCCGUAGGCGAAAGGUGAGAAGUCUCCCGGGGAUACGAUCCCAAGUACCACGGCCCUCGUGGAAGGUCGUGGGAAUCAGGGGGGACCUCCCUCCAAGGCUAAGUACUCCGGGCAGACCGAUAGCGUAUAGUACCGUGAGGGAAAGGUGAAAAGAACCCCGGAAGGGGAGUGAAAUAGAACCUGAAACCCCAGAUCCACAAGCCAGUGGAAGGGUCCUUUUGGGCCCGACUGCGUGCCUUUUGCAAAAUGAGCCAGGGAGUUGUCCUCAGCGGCGAGGUUAAGCCGUUAGGCGAAGCCGUAGCGAAAGCGAGUCCGAAUAGGGCGUUAAGUCGCUGGGGGCAGACGCGAAGCGGAACGAUCUACCCAUGCCCAGGGUGAAGGACGGGUAAUGCCGUCUGGAGGCCCGAACGGGUCGGUGCUGCAAAACCGUCCGAUGAGGUGUGGGUAGCGGUGAAAAGCCAAUCGCGUUCCGUGAUAGCUCGUUCUCCCCGAAAUAGGUCGACGCCUAGCGUCACCCGUUCCUUCCCGGAGGUAGAGCCACUGGUUGGGCUAGGGCCUCGAGAGAGGUACCGAACCCUGCCAAACUCCGAAUGCCGGGAUAGGUAGGGUGGCAGUCAGUCCCCGGGGGAUAAGCUCCGGUGGACAAGAGGGAAACAGCCCAGACCGCCAGCUAAGGUCCCAAAAUCCGGGCUAAGUGGGGAAGGAUGUGCGGCUGCUAAGACAGCCGGGAGGUUGGCUUAGAGGCAGCCAUCCUUUAAACAGUGCGUAACAGCUGACCGGCCGAGCGGCCGUGCGCCGAAAAUUUAGCGGGGCUAAGCCCGGUACCGAAGCUGCGGGCUCGCGUAAGCGAGCGGUAGGGGAGCGUUCCCUGUGGGCUGAAGUCUCACCGUAAGGUGGGAUGGACUGCAGGGAAGUGAGAAUCCUGGCAUGAGUAGCAGCGAAGACAGGUGAGAAACCUGUCCGCCGGAAGCCCAAGGUUUUGGCGGCAAUGUAAAUCAUCCGCCAGUUAGCCGGGACCCUAAGGCGAGGCCGAAAGGCGUAGCCGAUGGGAAGCGGGUCAACAUUCCCGCGCCAGCGGUGUGGAGCCAGAGUCGUGACGCAGGAGGCUAGGGAGAGCCGGCUAUGGAAUGCCGGUCCAAGGUAGUAGGAGGGGGUGGCAGGCAAAUCCGUCACCCCAUACUCCGAGAGCCGAUGGGGUAACUCUCCUGACGCCACACUGCCGAGAAACAACGGCGCUGGCGUUGAAGCACCGCUGCCCGUACCGGAAACCGACACAGGUGGGCUGGGUUAGUAGCCUAAGGCGUCGGGGGAACUCUCCUCAAGGAACUCGGCAAGUUGCCCCCGUACCUUCGGAAGAAGGGGGGCCCACGGAAGUGAAGCCUCCUCGGCGUAAGCUUCUGUGGGUCGCAGAGACCGGGCGGUGCCGACUGUUUACCAAAAACACAGGACUACGCAAACCCGUAAGGGGAUGUAUGUGGUCUGAAGCCUGGCCAGUGCCCGUAGGUUAAGGGGAAGGGUGCAAGCCCUGAACCGAAGCCCGGGUAAACGCCGGCCGUAACUCUGACGGUCCUAAGGUAGCGAAAUUCCUUGUCGGGUAAGUUCCGACCUGCAUGAAUGGCCCAACGAGUGCCGCACUGUCUCGAGGAGAGUCCCGGCGAAAUUGUGAUGCCGGUCAAGACGCCGGCUACCCGCGGCAGGACGGAAAGACCCCGUGAAGCUUCACUGCAGCCUGGUAUUGAGUCUUAGCUUGUCUUGCGCAGGAUAGGUGGGAGCCUGUGAAGUCCCUCCUCCGGGAGGGAUGGAGGCGCCGGUGAGAUACCACCCUGGACAAGCUGAGACUCUAACCCAGCCAAGUUAUCCUUGGCGGGGACCGUGCCAGGUGGGCAGUUUAGCUGGGGCGGCUGCCUCCUAAAAAGUAACGGAGGCGUCCAAAGGUACCCUCAGGCGGGUCGGAAAUCCGCCGUAGAGUACAAGGGCAGAAGGGUGCCUGACUGUGAGGCCGACAGGCCGAGCAGACGCGAAAGCGGGGCCUAGUGACCCACCGGUUCCACGGGGAAGGGCCGGUGAUCAGCGGAUAAAAGCUACUCCGGGGAUAACAGGCUAAUCUCCCCCGAGAGCCCACAUCGACGGGGAGGUUUGGUACCUCGAUGUCGGCUCCCCCCAUCCUGGGGCUGAAGCAGGUCCCAAGGGUUGGGCUGUUCGCCCAUUAAAGGGGGACGCGAGCUGGGUUCAGAACGUCGCGAGACAGUUCGGUCCCUAUCCGCCGCGGGCGCAGGAGUCUUGAGGGGGUCCGUCCCUAGUACGAGAGGACCGGGACGGGGCAGGCUCUGGUGUACCGGUUAUCUCUCCAGAGGUAGCGCCGGGUAGCCAUCCUGCUACGGGAUAAGCGCUGAAAGCAUCUAAGCGCGAAGCCCACCCCAAGAUAAGGACUCCCUGAAGGGCCGUGGGAGACUACCACGUUGAUAGGCCGCAGGUGGAAGCUCAGCAAUGGGUGAAGCCGAGCGGUACUAAUAGCCCGUUCGACUUGC
Molecule: ribosomal RNA, 2923 nt
Rfam family: Bacterial large subunit ribosomal RNA